GGGCCUGUAGCUCAAUGGUUAGAGCAAGAGACUCAUAAUCUCGUGGUUCCAGGUUCGAGUCCUGGCAGGCCCACCA
Molecule: transfer RNA, 76 nt
Filed under: Pseudomonadota bacterium
Lineage: Bacteria; Pseudomonadati; Pseudomonadota
Also listed under: 1 other name
Description: tRNA-Ile
Rfam family: tRNA
About the family: Transfer RNA (tRNA) molecules are approximately 80 nucleotides in length. Their secondary structure includes four short double-helical elements and three loops (D, anti-codon, and T loops).
Source: RNAcentral